UCUGAGCCUUUGAGGGCUUGUCCAUGAAUUAAACGAGGGCUUCCUAAUGCUAUUCAAAACCACGCCUAUACUUCAUUUUGGGAACGAAAGUAUUGACAAAACCCAACCUCAUCUCCUUGAGAUUUGAGAAAUCCCUUCUUCGACAGACCUCGAGUCCUCGACCCUCUCCCUCUCUCUUCUUCGACACAACUCUCCCUCCCUCUUCUUGAGAAGCCCCAACCUUAUCUCCUCCACAAACCCCGACCUAUCUUUUCUCUGACAAGCUCCAACAAAAGCUCUCCCUCUUCGACAAACCCCGACCAAAACCAUCUUUGCCUCUAGCUAGGUACGUUAUUCGAUUUGGGAAAUAAGGAAGGGAAGAAAACUUAAUGGGUAGCCUCUAGGAAGUCUCAGAGCUCCAAAGAGAGAGAAAGAGAGCGAUUUUUCGUUUCUAGGGUUUACUCUGCGCGAUCAAUCCGAGUUCCAAAGAUGCAGAAGCUAGGGUUUCCGAGCAUGAAGAGCUUGGAUUAGUUCAAGUCCCUUUCCAAAUCGGUCUCAGGAGGACCUCCGAAGACCUUCGCCUACACUUCACGUCCGCCGGAGUCGACCUUGUUGGGAAGCUUGGCGAAUUUGAAGCUCACCGCAGAAAUUGGUGAAGGAGAAAGCUUCUGUGAAAACAGAUUUGGAAAUGGCGGUGAAGUGGGGCUGUGAUUUGCAGAGUGAGCAUUAGCGUUAUUUAACUGAAGAGGCAUUUAGUGGAUGCCCAGUAAUUGUCAGGGACUAUCCGAAGGUUAGAGAGCUUAUCGGUGGAAGCCAGAGAGAAGAGAGGCUUGAAUAUUUUAGAAAACUGGUUGGAUGAAUUAAAGGCUGAAUAAGGAGGCAUACUGGCGGAAAGUGUACACAAAUAUAAAGGAAGAGGACAUGGCAUAUUGAAGUAAUGCUUGGGGAAGAGACGGAUAGUGGGCUCGAGAUUGCUGUCUAUUUUGUACCUUUAUGCAGUCUGCAAAUCUAGAGGAGUUCGAAGAAGAAUUUAAGGGUAUUAACCAAGAAGAGCAGAUCUGCAGACUUCACAAAAUGCUCGCUCCUUAUCUUCUUUCAAGUAUAAAUGUAAAACUCUAUUAAGCAUAUGUAAAUGUGCACUGUUUCAGAGUAUGUAAAUGUUCAACGUUUCUUAAGACUGAAUGUGAAAUUUAGCAAGCAAACAAACCUGCAGCAUUGCGCGGGCUAUCUCGCUAGUAAUAGCUAUUUAUUAUGAGAAAAUUACUGUUUGUUUGGUCAAUUUUUGGUUUCAGCUUUU
This 1276-nucleotide long non-coding RNA is filed under the name Rosa chinensis. Its description in RNAcentral is "sRNA RchiOBHm_Chr1g0342211". The record is from RNAcentral. Lineage: Eukaryota; Viridiplantae; Streptophyta; Magnoliopsida; Rosales; Rosaceae.